AACAACUGUACUUCCCUUUAACCCCCUUCCCUGCUUUAAAGCGAUAGCAGGGGAAUUUUUUUUUUUAAUUCAACUUUUUUUUCCAACAUUAUUUCAGCCCCACCGAAGUCCCAUGUGAAUAUCCAGUACCCCAAGGACACUUGCAAUGUCACACUGGCCUCACGCUUUCACUUUCUGAUGAACGUGGCCUUGACACAUCUCCAACUGACACCUGUUGAAACAAAUGUACCUUUCCAUCCUACCGGACGUCCACGUAUAACAAAAGACAUGAUUACACCGUAGGUAAAUACAAACAUAAGUCUGGUGGGGGAAGGGUGAACUAACGACUGUUUGUGUGUAGUAGAGUCUUUCUCUUAGAUUGUUAAUGAUAACUUGGAAUAAACUCAGUCAGGG
This is a long non-coding RNA of Bos indicus x Bos taurus (hybrid cattle), 393 nucleotides long. The record is from Ensembl. Lineage: Eukaryota; Metazoa; Chordata; Mammalia; Artiodactyla; Bovidae.